UACGGAGGGUGCAAGCGUUGUCCGGAAUCACUGGGCGUAAAGGGCGCGUAGGCGGCUCGGUAAGUAGGGGGUGAAAUCCUGCGGCUUAACCGCAGGGCUGCCUUCUAAACUGUCGAGCUCGAGCACGGUAGAGGCAGAUGGAAUUCCCGGUGUAGCGGUGGAAUGCGUAGAGAUCGGGAAGAACAUCAGUGGCGAAGGCGGUCUGCUGGGCCGUUGCUGACGCUGAGGCGCGACAGCGUGGGGAGCAAACAGGG
Molecule: ribosomal RNA, 254 nt
Filed under: uncultured bacterium
Lineage: Bacteria
Description: partial 16S ribosomal RNA
Rfam family: Bacterial small subunit ribosomal RNA
Source: RNAcentral